GGUCAAAGCUCAGUAGUAGAGUGUCUGAUUUGCAUGCAGAAGGUCCUGGGUUCAGUCCCUAAUGGCAUCU
Molecule: non-coding RNA, 70 nt
Organism: Podarcis lilfordi (Lilford's wall lizard)
Lineage: Eukaryota; Metazoa; Chordata; Lepidosauria; Squamata; Lacertidae
Source: the annotation of a GenBank genome assembly